Molecule: ribosomal RNA, 759 nt
Filed under: Prismatolaimus intermedius
Lineage: Eukaryota; Metazoa; Nematoda; Enoplea; Triplonchida; Prismatolaimidae
Description: SSU rRNA
Rfam family: Eukaryotic small subunit ribosomal RNA
Source: RNAcentral
UCGCAAAUUACCCACUCUCAGCACGAGGAGGUAGUGACGAAAAAUAACGAGGCGGUUCUCUACGAGGCCCGCCAUCGGAAUGGGUACAAUUUAAAUCCUUUAACGAGGAUCUAUUGGAGGGCAAGUCUGGUGCCAGCAGCCGCGGUAAUUCCAGCUCCAAUAGCGUAUAUUAAAGUUGUUGCGGUUAAAAAGCUCGUAGUUGGAUCUGCGGCCGAGGAGGGCGGUCCCCCGUUGGGUGGCUACUGCCUUUCCUGGCCUAACUCUCUGGUUUUCCUCUGGUGCUCUUGACUGAGUGCCUCUGGUGGCCAGAACGUUUACUUUGAAAAAAUUAGAGUGCUCAAAGCAGGCAUACUGCCUGAAUAGUGGUGCAUGGAAUAAUGAAAUAGGAUAUUGGUUCUGUUUUAUUGGUUCGGAGCUAAUAUAAUGAUUGAAGGGGACAGACGGGGGCAUUCGUAUUGCGACGUUAGAGGUGAAAUUCUUGGAUCGUCGCAAGACGGACUACUGCGAAAGCAUUUGCCAAGAAUGUUUUCAUCAAUCAAGAACGAAAGUCUGAGGUUCGAAGGCGAUCAGAUACCGCCCUAGUUCAGACCGUAAACGAUGCCAACUAGCGAUCCGAGGGCGUUAAUUUAUGACUCCUCGGGAAGCUUCCGGGAAACCAAAGUUUUUGGGUUCCGGGGGAAGUAUGGUUGCAAAGCUGAAACUUAAAGGAAUUGACGGAAGGGCACCACCAGGAGUGGAGCCUGCGGCUUAAUUUGACUA